CGUGUAGGCGGCCUUCUAAGUCCGAUGUGAAAGCCCGGGGCUCACCCCCGGAAGUGCAUUGGAUACUGGGAGGCUGGAGUACCGGAGAGGAGGGUGGAAUUCCUGGUGUAGCGGUGAAAUGCGUAGAUAUCAGGAGGAACACCUGUGGCGAAGGCGGCCCUCUGGACGGAUACUGACGCUGAGACGCGAAAGCGUGGGGAGCAAACAGGAUUAGAUACCCUGGUAGUCCACGCUGUAAACGAUGGGCACUAGGUGUUCGGGGUAUUGACCCCCCGAGUGCCGCAGCUAACGCAUUAAGUGCCCCGCCUGGGGACUACGGCCGCAAGGCUAAA
This 332-nucleotide ribosomal RNA is filed under the name uncultured Pseudomonadota bacterium. RNAcentral's name for it is "bacterial SSU rRNA". It matches the Rfam family "Bacterial small subunit ribosomal RNA", at positions 568 to 898 of the family's 1533-position model. The record is from RNAcentral. Lineage: Bacteria; Pseudomonadati; Pseudomonadota.